Molecule: ribosomal RNA, 460 nt
Filed under: uncultured bacterium
Lineage: Bacteria
Description: partial 16S ribosomal RNA
Rfam family: Bacterial small subunit ribosomal RNA
Source: RNAcentral
CCUACGGGUGGCAGCAGUGAGGAAUAUUGGUCAAUGGACGCAAGCCUGAACCAGCCAUGCCGCGUGUAUGAAGACGGCUCUAUGGUUUGUAAACCGCUUUUGUACGGGGGUAAACUCUGAUACGCGUAUCUGUCCUAAUGUACCUUACCAAUAAGGAUCGGCUAACUCCGUGCCAGCAACCGCGGUAAUACGGAGGAUGCAAGCGUUAUCCGGAUUUAGUGGGUUUAAAGGGAGCGUAGAUGGGUGGGUAAGUUAGUUGUGAAAGUUUGCGGCUCAACCGUAGAAUUGAAGUUGAUACUGGCAGUCUUGAGUAUGGUAGAGGUAGGCGGAAUGCGUGGUGUAGCGGUGAAAUGCUUAGAUAUCACGAAGAACUCCGAUUGCGAAGGCAGCCUACUAAACUACGACUGACGCUGAUGCACGAAAGUGUGGGUAUCAAACAGGAUUAGAUACCCUUGUAGUC